RNAcentral lists this non-coding RNA (26 nucleotides) under Homo sapiens (human). Lineage: Eukaryota; Metazoa; Chordata; Mammalia; Primates; Hominidae. The record is from RNAcentral.
CACUUUGAGAGGCGGGGCGGGAGGAU